UACAGAGGGGGCUAGCGUUGUUCGGAAUUACUGGGCGUAAAGGGCGCGUAGGUGGCCUGUUAAGUCGAACGUGAAAUCCCCGGGCUCAAUCCGGGAACUGCGUCCGAGACUGGCAGGCUCGAAUCCGGGAGAGGGAUGUGGAAUUCCAGGUGUAGCGGUGAAAUGCGUAGAUAUCUGGAGGAACACCGGUGGCGAAGGCGGCAUCCUGGACCGGUAUUGACGCUGAGGCGCGAAAGCCAGGGGAGCAAACGGG
This 253-nucleotide ribosomal RNA is filed under the name uncultured bacterium. Its description in RNAcentral is "partial 16S ribosomal RNA". It matches the Rfam family "Bacterial small subunit ribosomal RNA", at positions 524 to 776 of the family's 1533-position model. The record is from RNAcentral.